This 180-nucleotide small RNA is filed under the name uncultured Dysgonomonas sp. RNAcentral describes it as "Bacteroidales-1 6S-Bacteroidales RNA suggested". It matches the Rfam family "Bacteroidales-1 6S-Bacteroidales RNA suggested". The record is from RNAcentral. Lineage: Bacteria; Pseudomonadati; Bacteroidota; Bacteroidia; Bacteroidales; Dysgonomonadaceae.
GUCGUAUUGGCCGAUUGGGGAACCUAACAAGUAAUAAAUAAUACCGAGACAAGCUUUUGAUUUCAAUGGCGGGCCACACUCUUACAGAGUUGCCUUAGGCACAGUGGAUUACAGCGAAACCGAAGCACUCAAAUCCUGUUUAUCAGGGUUUCAUCCAUAUCUUACCAAUACGACUUUUUU